CCUACGGGAGGCAGCAGUGAGGAAUAUUGGUCAAUGGACGAGAGUCUGAACCAGCCAAGUAGCGUGAAGGAUGACUGCCCUAUGGGUUGUAAACUUCUUUUAUAUGGGAAUAAAAUGUUCCACGUGUGGGAUUUUGUAUGUACCCUAUGAAUAAGGACUGGCUAACUCCGUGCCAGCAGCCGCGGUAAUACGGAGGAUCCGAGCGUUAUCCGGAUUUAUUGGGUUUAAAGGGAGCGUAGGUGGAUUGUUAAGUCAGUUGUGAAAGUUUGCGGCUCAACCGUAAAAUUGCAGUUGAAACUGGCAGUCUUGAGUACAGUAGAGGUGGGCGGAAUUCGUGGUGUAGCGGUGAAAUGCUUAGAUAUCACGAAGAACUCCGAUUGCGAAGGCAGUUCACUGGACUGCAACUGACACUGAGGCUCGAAAGUGUGGGUAUCAAACAGGAUUAGAUACCCGGGUAGUC
Molecule: ribosomal RNA, 460 nt
Filed under: uncultured bacterium
Lineage: Bacteria
Description: partial 16S ribosomal RNA
Rfam family: Bacterial small subunit ribosomal RNA
Source: RNAcentral